AAUAUGUGAAAGAAAAGAUUUGGGCCUUAGUAUUGGGAAAAUAUGAACUAGAAGAAACAUGUAAGAGCUACAUUCUUCAAUGUUGUGGAAAUUUGUUUAGAAGCUAUAGAAAUAAAAUGAAGGCCAAGUAUUAUAACCCUUAUAAUACAGAUGAGGAGAGAUUGUGCCAUCGACCUCCACACUUAUCGGAUGAUGAUUGGAGGUGGCUCAUCCACUUUUGGGGUACACCUAAGGCCAAGGAUAUCUCAGAAAAAAAAAA
Long non-coding RNA from Vitis riparia (riverbank grape), 259 nucleotides. RefSeq lists it as uncharacterized. The record is from RefSeq and is a predicted model, not a curated record. Lineage: Eukaryota; Viridiplantae; Streptophyta; Magnoliopsida; Vitales; Vitaceae. The transcript has 3 exons.